UUUUGUCCAAGGGCCCAUAAUUUUCUUGAGCCGACCCUGGAUACAUAGGUUCGAUUCUACGCCAACGGACUACAUUAAAGUCCUUAGAGACCAUAGCCCGUGGGAGACAUGAUAAAAACAGUAAAAACAAACCGAAAAGGAUAGGUCAAGCAGGCUAAGAAUCAAAUCACACACGAGAUUACAUAAUUAGUGUUCAAAUGGGGCAUGAUUUAAAAAAAAAAUUAAAAAAAAACCCAAAAUUUUUAUGUUAUCCAUAAAGUAUAUGUAAAUUUUUUUUUUUGAAAAACUAUUUUGUCCAAGGGCCCAUAAUUUUCUUGAGCCGACCCUGGAUACAUAGGUUCGAUUCUACGCCAACGGACUACAUUAAAGUCCUUAGAGACCAUAUCCCGUGGGAGACAUGAUAAAAACAGUAAAAACAAACCGAAAAGGAUAGGUCAAGCAGGCUAAGAAUCAAAUCACACACGAGAUUACAAACCCGCAUCAAACCACGUACGCAUAAAAAUAACAUCGAACUUCUCACUGCUCCCUUGUCCUAGCAUGUCAUUAAGCCAGCAAAGCCAUGAGUGUCAUCCAAUCUAAUUCGCACCGAUUGCUUAAUGAACCCAAGACAUUAUUAAGUUCAUAGGAGAAAUAAAUCAGGAAUUACGAUGCCAAAAGAACUUAAGGAUCAACGAUCCCCAACAAAAGGGUAAGCGCACCAAAGCCCACUAACUCAAGACCCUUACUGAUUACUGCAAACCUGAGAUUAUUGAUACUGGAUCUGUAACCGAGAAAAAACAGGAGAAGCCUUUGGAACAUCUUUAAAAAGACGACUUUCUAUGGCAUCAUCUAGGAGGGAAGCAUGCCGAAACCAAACUGAAACAACUAGGGAAGAGAGGCGAAGCUUAAAUAACACAGUAACUCCAAACCAAACAAAG
This 917-nucleotide long non-coding RNA is filed under the name Brassica rapa (field mustard). RNAcentral's name for it is "long non-coding RNA (BRAP_LNC003378)". The record is from RNAcentral. Lineage: Eukaryota; Viridiplantae; Streptophyta; Magnoliopsida; Brassicales; Brassicaceae.